AAAUUGACUUCACCACAAAUCUUUGUAGCAUAUCUUCAAAUCACAAUUCUCUGGAGAAAAGAUGGUUCUAAUAAUUUUAAUUUUCUUGUGCACUUUUCAAAAGAGGAUGAAAAUAUUUACAUGCUCUUUUUCUUGAUUCAAAACUCAAAUUUAUCUUAGGAAAUAUUGUCCCAAAAAAAUCAGUGAUAAUUAAUUUACUUUCAUUGAAAAUAUUGUCCCAUAACAUUAUGAAUGGGGCAUCUAUAACAAGCGGUAAGAUUGCUGCCGGUAACAAUUCAGUCGGCCGGCCGGCAGGAUAUCUCCUUUAUUAACUACUGAAACUAACGCAAUAAGCAAGCAGUAUCGCUUGAAGAGAUCCCCCCAAAUGCGGUUCGACGAAAGCGCGAUUCAAAAUGGAAUGGAUGUUUCAGUCUUGGAGUAGAUUUGGAUCUUGCCUGUACUGGAUUUUCCCUUAGUAAAGGCAUCGAUAUUCGACCCAUAAUGGGAAUGGAGAGUAUAUCUGUAAGAAGAGUAUGGGACAAAAAUUGACGCAUUGAGCUACAUUAUUCAUAGAUUUUGGAAGAUUGAAGUUAUAAUUCAAGAUGAAAGUUUAGAACAUGCACAAGCUCGCUAUUAUUUUUCUAAGAACGUUAUGUAAAACUUGAUAGUCUUGCUAAAGAUGCUAAUUGAUUAAAGAUUUUUUGUUGAGCAAAUAUUGAAAAGAUCUAUUACAUAUUGCAUUGAACUUUGUAUUUGAAGAUAUUUUAUAUUUAGUGAUGUAAUUUAUUAAUUUUAUGAUA
Long non-coding RNA from Solanum pennellii, 779 nucleotides. RefSeq lists it as uncharacterized. The record is from RefSeq and is a predicted model, not a curated record. Lineage: Eukaryota; Viridiplantae; Streptophyta; Magnoliopsida; Solanales; Solanaceae. The transcript has 3 exons.